GGCCCCAUCGUCUAGUGGUUAGGACGCCAGGUUUUCAUCCUGGUAACAGGAGUUCGAUUCUCCUUGGGGCUGCUA
Molecule: transfer RNA, 75 nt
Filed under: Parcubacteria group bacterium
Lineage: Bacteria
Description: tRNA-Glu
Rfam family: tRNA
About the family: Transfer RNA (tRNA) molecules are approximately 80 nucleotides in length. Their secondary structure includes four short double-helical elements and three loops (D, anti-codon, and T loops).
Source: RNAcentral